This 350-nucleotide unclassified non-coding RNA is filed under the name Mycobacteroides abscessus. Its description in RNAcentral is "partial contains 16S ribosomal RNA and 16S-23S ribosomal RNA intergenic spacer". The record is from RNAcentral. Lineage: Bacteria; Bacillati; Actinomycetota; Actinomycetes; Mycobacteriales; Mycobacteriaceae.
AUCACCUCCUUUCUAAGGAGCACCAUUUCCCAGUCGAAUGAACUAGGGAACAUAAAGUAGGCAUCUGUAGUGGAUAUCUACUUGGUGAAUAUGUUUUGUAAAUCCUGUCCACCCCGUGGAUGGGUAGUCGGCAAAACGUCGGACUGUCAUAAGAAUUGAAACGCUGGCACACUGUUGGGUCCUGAGGCAACACGUUGUGUUGUCACCCUGCUUGGUGGUGGGGUGUGGACUUUGACUUCUGAAUAGUGGUUGCGAGCAUCUAAACAUAGCCUCGCUCGUUUUCGAGUGGGGCUUGUUUUUGCAAUUUUAUUAGCUAAGUUCUUAAGGGCGCAUGGUGGAUGCCUUGGCGA